RNAcentral lists this ribosomal RNA (515 nucleotides) under uncultured Glomus. RNAcentral's name for it is "SSU rRNA". It matches the Rfam family "Eukaryotic small subunit ribosomal RNA", at positions 574 to 1092 of the family's 1831-position model. Lineage: Eukaryota; Fungi; Glomeromycota; Glomeromycetes; Glomerales; Glomeraceae. The record is from RNAcentral.
CCGCGGUAAUUCCAGCUCCAAUAGCGUAUAUUAAAGUUGUUGCAGUUAAAAGCUCGUAGUUGAAUUUCGGGGUCAGUAGAUUGGUCGUGCCACUGGUAUGCACUGGUCUUACUGGCUCCUCCUUCCUGAUGAGCUGUAAUGCCAUUAAUUUGGUGUUGCAGGGAAUCUGGACUGUUACUUGAAAAAUUAGAGUGUUUAAAGCAGGCUAACGCUUGAAUACAUUAGCAUGGAAUAAUGAAAUAGGACGUUCGAUCCUAUUUUGUUGGUUUCUAGGAUUGACGUAAUGAUUAAUAGGGAUAGUUGGGGGCAUUAGUAUUCAAUUGUCAGAGGUGAAAUUCUUGGAUUUAUUGAAGACUAACUACUGCGAAAGCAUUUGCCAAGGAUGUUUUCAUUAAUCAAGAACGAAAGUUAGGGGGAUCGAAGACGAUCAGAUACCGUCGUAGUCUUAACCAUAAACUAUGCCGACUAGGGAUCGGAUGAUGUUAAUUUUUUAAUGACUCAUUCGGCGCCUUACG